GACUGCCAAAGUGUUCCAUAUAUGAUGGUUGAUGUGCAGUAACUUUAUCCGGAUCUCCUGGUAUCAUCUUCCCAAAAUAUGUGUGGACCCAUCGGCAAUGGAUUUUUUGUAAGGUGGCAGAGAAAUGAUUGCCGAUGUAUUUCUAGAUCACUCAAACUUAUGCCAAGCCACCUUCAAGGUAGGGA
Long non-coding RNA from Nymphaea colorata (pocket water lily), 185 nucleotides. RefSeq lists it as uncharacterized. Lineage: Eukaryota; Viridiplantae; Streptophyta; Magnoliopsida; Nymphaeales; Nymphaeaceae. The record is from RefSeq and is a predicted model, not a curated record. The transcript has 3 exons.